RNAcentral lists this ribosomal RNA (168 nucleotides) under Triticum aestivum (bread wheat). Its description in RNAcentral is "partial small subunit ribosomal RNA". The record is from RNAcentral. Lineage: Eukaryota; Viridiplantae; Streptophyta; Magnoliopsida; Poales; Poaceae.
AUGGCUUUCCUCACUAUGUUUGCAAAUUGGGUCUUAUGGAAUGAGAGAAAUGCUUGUGUCUUUCAAAACAAGUCCACGCCGCUACUAUACAUUUUGGUGCUCAUCAAGAGUAAAGCCAAUCUUUGGGACAUGGUAUGUGCUAAACAUCUGAGAAACAUCAUGCUGUGA